UUAAUGAAGCCGUUUUAGAGUAUAGAUCAUGCAUCUGAAGUGUCACUGCUCAGUUCUUUGCUAUGUAGGCGUUAAAUCACUUUUAUUUCUCUCCAUACAGCCCUAGCCACACCACUAUUAACAAAGCAGGAGAUAAGAAAUUCUAAAUGAAACUAAAUUUGCAAUAAAGGAAGGGUAAACAUUAGAUCUCAAAUUACAGGAAGUGUUUAUGAAGGCUGUGCAUGUUACUUGCUAGGAGAUGUGACUAGCAGUGGUGCCUCAAUCAUAGGGGCACUUGGGGCAACGCCCAGCAGUUGUUAUCUGGGGAAACAAUUUAUUUAUAGAAGAUAAGAAACAAAUAUUUUUUUCUGGAUGGAAGGGUAGUAAGACAGAAAAUAUAGGACAAAAAUAGUGUCUUUCUAAUUAUGUAAUAGAUCUCAGUGCUGCAGUGCACCUUCCCCUCAGUAGCUGUUUGGAGAAGUUUGCUUGAGAGCAUCUAGUCAUGUCAAAAAAUGGGGCUGGUUUAAAAUAUGUGCCGUUUCACCAGGUUAUGGACGUACCUAGUGUCCAUAAGAAGGAAUUGCCAAUCAGCUGCCCAUGAGUGGAGGCAUGCUAUUGGCCUCUCUGUUCAUCAUUAGCUGAUAGCACCAUGGGAUGAGGUUACAGUGCUCACAGGAGAGGGAAGCAAAUGGCCAUCUUGGAAGUAACACAGAGAGCACAGUAGCAGCAGCUCCUGGCCCUGCUAAAUAUACAUGUAUAGUAUUAUCUUUUUAUUUACCCCAAUAGCCCAAGUGGCUGCCUGAGGGCUGAUAUGCACAUACCCACCAUCUUCUUCCAAAUGCUCAGUCACUCUACAGCUGAAACACUCAUGCUGUGGCCAGUUGAAAAGUUGUGAAGCUUCAAACUGCGGGACUGGGGCUGUGACUCUAAAGACUGAUCUGAUUUCAAUCUGUUUUAAUCUGUAAUAAUUGUUGAUUCUGUUAACCAUGUCAGUUCCUUCUUGGCUCCAUAUUACCACUGCUGAUUAAUUAUAUUGCUAGAUGCAAAGAUAAUGAGUCUAUCAGUAGCCUGCUGUUUAACAAUGUGCACACGGUGUGCUGAGAGCUAAUGAAGUAGCUGACAUUUUUCACAACAGAAGCAAUGUUUAAUAGAAAGCUAAAGUUAUCAUAGCAGGAGCACUACUGAAGAUGAGAUCAUGUAAGGGAGAGCUAAGAGAGGGCCAGGAAUAUAGAGAGAGCUAAACAUUUUGCAGAGACAGGCACUGUAUGGGUAUCUCUACAUUGCAACUCUGUAAGAUCCAUCACAGUGAUCCUGGAUGUGUGGGAUACUUAUAUUAUCACCUUAUUUUGCCCAGCUCUGUGUGUUAUUUCUCUGUUUUUUAUUUAGCUCUUCCCAGUGUAUGGGUAUCUGUAGUCUACCCAGCUCUGUAUUAUAUGGAUAUCUCUAUGCUGUGUAAGAAGGAGUAAUAUUCUGGUGCACCACCAUCUUACAACUUCACUAGGGCUAGGGCUGCAUAAACAAAGCCAUUUAACUUCUAAAUGGCAGGGAAUUGAGUGGUGAGACUGCAGGAGCAUGAUCUAUACACUAAAACUGCUUCAUCAAGCUAAAGUUGGGCAGACUAGAUGUUCCGAAUGGUUAUCUGCCGUCACAUUCUAUGUUUCUAAGUUGUUUUGGUGACUAUAGUGUCCACUAAUAUCACUAAUUUGUGAAUUAAACAUGUAUUGACUUAACUCUCAAGACCAAGCAAAAUUAGACCAUGGAAUAAAGUAAUAAGCAUUGAAUAUAUGUACUAAGCUUUUAAAUGGGCUAUUUAUUAAAGUGAAAGUUGUGCUGAAUUCUAAGUGAAUUUCAAAUUUUUGUCAAAAAUAACCAACCUGGAAGCACAACUAACUUGGAGAAUUUUCUAAAAUUCAGCUAUUUGAUAUUAGGUUUGAAAUUUGCAUUGAAUUCACUUGAAAUUCCUAACAGUGUUCCCAUAAUAGCAGCAAUACUUCCUUCCAAACUGGAUGCAGAAACACACACAGUAUACACCAAAAUGUUCUUGUUGGAAAAGUAUUUUCACUGACUGCGGUCUUUGUCCUAAAUUUAGCAAUUUAGUCAUCAAUUCACCGUAUAAGCCCACCAGCCAAAUAGGUUUGUUAUAUUUCAAUAAUAUAUCUGCACUUUACAAGAUUUUUUACUUCCAAAAGAGUGGACUGCGGAAUUCGAAAGCUAUUUUAAGGUACCAGAUUUAAUUUGAUUGGUAUUCUUAUUUUAAAUUCAAAAUACUAUAACAACCAUUGUUGGUAUUAUUGAUUCUGUUAUAUUAUUCCCCUCUACAGCCAUUCCUGUUGACCUUUUCAACACAUUCAUUAGCCUCCUUCACUUGUUGACCUUAAUUAUGUUGAAAAUAUUUUAAGCAGGCCAUCUAAAUCUUGCAUUCUCAGCUCAAUAGCAUUGGCAGUAAUUGCAAAAGCCACCAGACUAAAUAUUGAAAUGUGUCUCAUGAGCCCAGAGGCUGGAUUCUGUAAUCAAAGAGUUUAUUACUGUUUAAAUACAUCAAAUGAUAAAUCACUAUUCAAUUAUCAGAGAUAACUGUAUCUCUAAUCAUACAAUUUAGUCACAGGGGAGCAAUUAUAGUUUGUUGGGUGAGCAUAGACCCAUAUGAACAUGUUUUACCUGGUCUUCCUAUUUUAUCCUUAAAUAAACACUCUGGGAACCAUAAAAUGAAGUUGUUAUAGUACUUGGAGGGCAUGGGCAUCGUGUUUCCGUAAGGGUUAAACCAUUUGUAAAUGGUUUAACCCCUUAGGGUAAGACAGUGCCCAGAAGCUAUAAGAACCAUGACAACUUCAUCUGGAUGAAGUUGUUAUGGUGCCCAGAUUAUUCCCUUUAAAAUAAAUUGCUUUAUGAGCUAUCAGUCAGUGAAAAACCUGAGAAUUGAGAAUCCCUAAAAUAUGUAAUAUAAUAGUCCAUUAUGAUUAUUUUACAUAGGGAUUCACUGGACUGUGGUAGCCAACUGGUUCUACAUGCAGUACAUGCAGAAAAUUGAACUUGUCAGGAAUAAAAAUAUAUCCUUUAACGCUUUAAUAAGGAGUCACUGGAUCUAGCACCCUGAGAAUUUUCCCAUUUAUCCUAAAACCAUGAGUCUGGAGUCAAAAACCUGAGGCUCACAGUCAAAACCUGAGAAUUCCCAGAUAUAUUCAUAGUCUAUCCUGUGAAUCACAUCCUCAUAAGCAACUGGACAAUAGUCAUUUAUCAGCCUUUGAUUUAAUUAACUAAACAGUUUUCAUAAAUAUGGCUUCCUAAUAUCACAACACAUAAGGCCACUUCUGACUGCUGGGGUACUUUCCUUUUUCCAUUGGCAUAUUGAUUUUGCCCUAGACAUAUCGAUUAUUUACUAGACUACAAUGCUUUAUAAUAAUAGCUGCAAACUGUGAGUUUGUACAGUCCUUUCUUCAGGCUUACCAUAAGCACAAUGUUUUUAAAAAGACAGGUGUACCAAUCAAUAUUUUUACAUUCAUUUUACCUGAUGUCAAGUCUGUGCUUAUAUAGAAUUGACAUGCUUACUGAAUAAAAGUAUGUCUUACUAAAUAACCAAACAAGUAAAUAUACCUUCUAUCUGACAUGCUGAUAACCAUAAUGAAAUAUGUUUGUAAAGUAGUACUUAUACUGUACCACUCUCCUACAGGAGGUUCAGUUCUCGUCUCACAUUAAUGAUUUAUUGUACUAUUAAAUCACUCUUCUGCCUGACCCAUGAACAAGAUGUGGCUGUCAGUAACAUCAUCGGGAUUUUCCACUUUGUCUAGUGCAGUGGUAGACAACCUACGGAGCUCUAGAUGUUGUGGACUAUAUCUCUCAUAAUGCUCUUACAGCCUCAAUGCUGGCAACGCAUCAGGGGAUAUGUAGUCCAUUAAAUCUGGAGUCUACUGGUCUGGUGUAUAGUACAAUAGUUUCUGCCUAGUAAGAACUAUGUUGCAAAAGUGUUGGUAGGAGCCGCACUCAAUUCCAGCAGCAACCCGGUUCCCCCGGAGCAGGACCAGCAAUCCCACAACGUCAAGGCAAUGAAAGAAAUUCUCCAGGCACUCAAGGUGUUAAAGCCGCAGGCAGUUUUAAUGGAACAAAAAGAGAGCAGCAACGUUUCGACCUAUUAUGAGGUCUUUAACAAGACCUCAUAGUAGGUGCCUGGAGAAUUUCUUUCAUUGUAAGAACUACGUAACAUAAAACAUAUAUAGUGCAGUGGUAAGUGGAACUCUUUAAAUUAGCACUGUAUUUUUUUUCCUUUCCUUAUACCCUUUGUAUCUUAUACUCCCCUACUUGCCACAUGCCUUAAUUUAAAAUUAUCUUUUUCCAUUCACCAAACCUCAAUAACAGAGCACCUUCAUUUUGUUCUCCUGUGUUCAUGAUGUCAACAGUUUGCCACUUCAGUGGGAUUCUUUUGACUGAUGGAUUGUGGGUAAAUUCAUAGGCCUGGGCACACCCCAAUACCUGUGGCCUGCGCAUGGAUCGGGGCCGGCAGGGGAGAUCACAGAUCUCUCUCACCGGCCCACAGGCAGGGAGGGAGGCAGGAGAGGACCCGAGGAGCUUUAGCCAGCAGCUCCUCCCUGGUUCCUCUAGCGAGGUCAGAGCGGCAACACUCGGAUCUCGCAGGAGUGAACUCUAGCCCUGCAGGCCUGAGUUCACUCACCACUAGGACCACCAGGGAUCAGAGAUGGCAGCAAAGAUCCCCCUCCCAGGCAAAAGGUAAGAAGGGAGGGGGGCUCUUUCCUAAUCUGUCCCCCCCACACAAUCACUCCAAACAAAUUCACACACACACAGCACACUAACAGCACCCUCACACACACCACACUAACAGCACCCUCACACACACCACACUAACAGCACCCUCUCACACACACAGCACACUAACAGCACCCUCAUACACACACACUAACAGCACCCUUACACACACAGCACCGUUACA
Molecule: non-coding RNA, 4918 nt
Organism: Pelobates cultripes (western spadefoot toad)
Lineage: Eukaryota; Metazoa; Chordata; Amphibia; Anura; Pelobatidae
Source: the annotation of a GenBank genome assembly